RNAcentral lists this ribosomal RNA (497 nucleotides) under uncultured bacterium. RNAcentral's name for it is "partial 16S ribosomal RNA". It matches the Rfam family "Bacterial small subunit ribosomal RNA", at positions 28 to 507 of the family's 1533-position model. The record is from RNAcentral.
GAUGAACGCUGGCGGCGUGCCUAAUACAUGCAAGUCGAGCGAACAGACGAGGAGCUUGCUCCCCUGACGUUAGCGGCGGACGGGUGAGUAACACGUGGAUAACCUACCUAUAAGACUGGGAUAACUUCGGGAAACCGGAGAUAAUACCGGAUAAUAUAUUGAACCGCAUGGUUCAAUAGUGAAAGACGGUUUUGCUGUCACUUAUAGAUGGAUCCGCGCCGCAUUAGCUAGUUGGUAAGGUAACGGCUUACCAAGGCAACGAUGCGUAGCCGACCUGAGAGGGUGAUCGGCCACACUGGAACUGAGACACGGUCCAGACUCCUACGGGAGGCAGCAGUGGGGAAUCUUCGACAAUGGGCGAAAGCCUGAUCGAGCCAUGCCGCGUGAGUGAAGAAGGUCUUCGGGUUGUAAAACCCUUUUGUUGGGAAAGAAAAGAAGUGGGUUAAUACACCCCCGUUCUGACGGUACCUAAAGAAAAAGCCCCGGCUAACUUCGUG